GUGGGUAACCUGCCUUAUAGUGGGGGAUAGCCUUUCGAAAGGAGGAUUAAUACCGCAUAAGAUUGUAGUAUCGCAUGAUAUAGCAAUUAAAGGAGCAAUCCGCUAUAAGAUGGACCCGCGUCGCAUUAGCUAGUUGGUGAGGUAAUGGCUCACCAAGGCGACGAUGCGUAGCCGACCUGAGAGGGUGAUCGGCCACAUUGGGACUGAGACACGGCCCAGACUCCUACGGGAGGCAGCAUG
Molecule: ribosomal RNA, 240 nt
Filed under: uncultured bacterium
Lineage: Bacteria
Description: partial 16S ribosomal RNA
Rfam family: Bacterial small subunit ribosomal RNA
Source: RNAcentral